GGUUAUUACAGGUUUGUAUCUAAGGGUUAGUGUCAGGUUAUUACAGGUUUGUAUCUAAGGGUUAGGGUUAGGUUAUUACAGGUUUGUAUCUAAGGGUUAGUGUCAGGUUAUUACAGGUUUGUAUCUAAGGGUUAGGUUAUUACAGGUUUGUAUCUAAGGGUUAGGUUAUUACAGGUUUGUAUCUAAGGGUUAGGGUUAGGUUAUUACAGGUUUGUAUCUAAG
Oncorhynchus keta (chum salmon) is the source of this 222-nucleotide long non-coding RNA. RefSeq lists it as uncharacterized. Lineage: Eukaryota; Metazoa; Chordata; Actinopteri; Salmoniformes; Salmonidae. The record is from RefSeq and is a predicted model, not a curated record. The transcript is spliced from 3 exons.